RNAcentral lists this transfer RNA (69 nucleotides) under Dehalococcoidia bacterium. Its description in RNAcentral is "tRNA-OTHER". The record is from RNAcentral. Lineage: Bacteria; Bacillati; Chloroflexota; Dehalococcoidia.
GCCGAGGUGGUGGAAUUAGGGGGUGGUGGGCGUAUGCCUGUGUGGGUUCUAAUCCCGCCCUCGGCACCA